RNAcentral lists this ribosomal RNA (311 nucleotides) under uncultured eukaryote. Its description in RNAcentral is "partial 18S ribosomal RNA". It matches the Rfam family "Eukaryotic small subunit ribosomal RNA", at positions 1470 to 1796 of the family's 1831-position model. The record is from RNAcentral.
CCCCUAGACGUUCUGGGCUGCACGCGCGCUACAAUAAUACGCACAGCGAGUAUCACCGAGCUCGAAAGGGCAAGGUAAACAAUAGAAAAGGUACUGUAAUGGUCAUAGAUCCUUGUAAUUAUUGAUCUUCAACGAGGAAUUCCUAGUAAGUAUGUGUCAUCAUCACGCACUGAUUACGUCCCUGCCCUUUGUACACACCGCCCGUCGCUCCUACCGAUUGGGUGAGCCGAUGAAACUCUCGGAUGUAGGCUAUUCAUAGCCCGCAGAAGAGAUUUGAAUCGUAGCGCUUAGAGGAAGGAGAAGUCGUAACA